AUGUCUGAAGACCCAAUAUGGGUAGCCUGGAGGAACAUCUGCUGGCCACGGGACUGCUGCACGGGCUGUGACUGCCAGCGAGGCCUGGAGACCCGGCAGCUGUGGACUGCCCAGUGCCGAACAGCCCCUUUGGUGAGUUGGUGGAGCCCUCCCUCGCCUUUGCCUUCCCCAGGAUGGGUCACUGAGCUGGCCUCUCUCGGCUGGGGGGGAGGCGGGGGGGCAACUUCCAGAUGCUCAGGUUGGCCCCUACCCCGGGACCCCAGCUCACCCCCCCUUUCCCUGCCCUCCCAUUCCCCGCAUUUCUUCUGUUCCUUGAGAUGCCCCUUCUCUUCCACCCUUCUCUUCUCUCUGCCCGGCCUGGGUUCUCUGGGGCCACUGAGGAAUCACAGUGGGGUCCCCGAGCUCACCCUGUGGGCUGAAGGGGGUGAGGGCCUAAGGGUGGAGGCCCUUGAGGACUGGCUGGGGGAGGGGUGCUGGAGGAACAGUUCAUCCAGCUAAACCAGUUCACUCACGUGCCCCAUGACCAGGACCCCUUUCUCAGUAGUUGUGUCUGACUCUGCGACCCCACAGACUGUGGAGCCCACCAGGCUCCUCUGUCCAUGGGAUUCUAUAGGCAAGAAUACUGGAGUGGGUUGCCAUUUCCUUCUCCAGGGGAUCUUCCCCACCCAGGGACUGAACCUGUGUCUCUUGAGUCUCCUGCACUGGCAGGCGGAUUCUCUACCAAUAGCGCCACCUGGGGGCCACCCCCUUCCUUAGGGGCCAGGAGCAAAUCCUAGAGGCCACUGGGGCCUGGGAAGGGGUGUUUCUCAGCAGCCGCUGGACCCUGUCUGCUCUGGGCCACCUGCCUCUGAGGGAGUCCAUGAGCCCCGGGAGUCCUCCACUGGAAUAAGCUGGUCACCUGCAUCUGUAAAUUGGGUGGGGGGAGCAGGAAGGGCUUGACGCCAUUGUCCACCUUCCCCAGCCUGGUGGCCAGAGGUUGCUAGCAGCCCACCCACUCAAGGCGUGCAAGGGUUCUUUUUGCACGGGGCCUUGGGUCAGGGGGCGGCAUCUGACACGGACCCUUCUUCCUCCUGGGGGUGGGCAGAAGACAGAGGAAAGAGGACCACAUGGGGAAGUGGGUGCCAGCUCAUGGGAGUGGAAGAAGAUGCAGGUGGCCCAGGAGAUGCCAGCAGGGGUGGAUAGGCAGAGACAGGGGAAUGGCUUGAGGUGGGUGGGAACUGGUCAUUCCCCAGGUAUGGGAGUUGAGGGAGUUAGGGUCUUGCCCGGUCAGGCCCCACUAAGGU
Molecule: long non-coding RNA, 1283 nt
Filed under: Bos mutus (wild yak)
Lineage: Eukaryota; Metazoa; Chordata; Mammalia; Artiodactyla; Bovidae
Description: lncRNA (ENSBMUG00000013769.1)
Source: RNAcentral